RNAcentral lists this non-coding RNA (24 nucleotides) under Arabidopsis thaliana (thale cress). The record is from RNAcentral. Lineage: Eukaryota; Viridiplantae; Streptophyta; Magnoliopsida; Brassicales; Brassicaceae.
ACCGAGGGAAUUGCGACAAAUGUC